AAAGCUUUCGCGGUAUGGGAUGGGGUCGCGUCCUAUCAGCUUGACGGCGGGGUAACGGCCCACCGUGGCUUCGACGGGUAGCCGGCCUGAGAGGGCGACCGGCCACAUUGGGACUGAGAUACGGCCCAGACUCCUACGGGAGGCAGCAGUGGGGAAUAUUGCACAAUGGGCGCAAGCCUGAUGCAGCGACGCCGCGUGAGGGAUGGAGGCCUUCGGGUUGUAAACCUCUUUUAUCGGGGAGCAAGCGAGAGUGAGUUUACCCGUUGAAUAAGCACCGGCUAACUACGUGCCAGCAGCCGCGGUAAUACGUAGGGUGCAAGCGUUAUCCGGAAUUAUUGGGCGUAAAGGGCUCGUAGGCGGUUCGUCGCGUCCGGUGUGAAAGUCCAUCGCUUAACGGUGGAUCCGCGCCGGGUACGGGCGGGCUUGAGUGCGGUAGGGGAGACUGGAAUUCCCGGUGUAACGGUGGAAUGUGUAGAUAUCGGGAAGAACACCAAUGGCGAAGGCAGGUCUCUGGGCCGUUACUGACGCUGAGGAGCGAAAGCGUGGGGAGCGAACAGGAUUAGAUACCCUGGUAGUCCACGCCGUAAACGGUGGAUGCUGGAUGUGGGGCCCGUUCCACGGGUUCCGUGUCGGAGCUAACGCGUUAAGCAUCCCGCCUGGGGAGUACGGCCGCAAGGCUAAAACUCAAAGAAAUUGACGGGGGCCCGCACAAGCGGCGGAGCAUGCGGAUUAAUUCGAUGCAACGCGAAGAACCUUACCUGGGCUUGACAUGUUCCCGACGGUCGUAGAGAUACGGCUUCCCUUCGGGGCGGGUUCACAGGUGGUGCAUGGUCGUCGUCAGCUCGUGUCGUGAGAUGUUGGGUUAAGUCCCGCAACGAGCGCAACCCUCGCCCCGUGUUGCCAGCGGAUUAUGCCGGGAACUCACGGGGGACCGCCGGGGUUAACUCGGAGGAAGGUGGGGAUGACGUCAGAUCAUCAUGCCCCUUACGUCCAGGGCUUCACGCAUGCUACAAUGGCCGGUACAACGGGAUGCGACGCGGCGACGCGGAGCGGAUCCCUGAAAACCGGUCUCAGUUCGGAUCGCAGUCUGCAACUCGACUGCGUGAAGGCGGAGUCGCUAGUAAUCGCGAAUCAGC
RNAcentral lists this ribosomal RNA (1136 nucleotides) under uncultured bacterium. RNAcentral describes it as "bacterial SSU rRNA". It matches the Rfam family "Bacterial small subunit ribosomal RNA", at positions 202 to 1353 of the family's 1533-position model. The record is from RNAcentral.